UAUUCAGUAUGUUGCUGGGAGCUAUUGUUUUUCAAUAUCAUUGUUAAAGUCCAUAUUGGGCGCCAAAUAUUGGCGAUGCGAGGCCAGUGGCCAGUGUCGGGUGAGUUCGCGAUGACCAGGCGGGAGCGGCAGCGAUCGCGCGCGCACAUGGUUGGGCUGCGACAUCGCUCCCCCCGCAGUAGCGGAACAAGCACCGCCCACCGUGGACGGCACAGACAACGUCGCUGCAGAUGGAAGCCCUUCAGAGUUGCCAGGUCCUCUGGCCAAUGCUUUGCUGGUGGAGAAUUCUGUGCUGGAGUGGACGCGUCUCCCAAAGAUCUAGACGAGCAAAAAGUGAGGAACAGAGGCAAGGUUAGAGUGAGGAACUUACCCGUGCUGCUAAAGAUAUCGUGGAGGUGUAAACUGUUCUGCAGAGAAAUGCAUGUCAAUAAAUGACCUGGAC
Long non-coding RNA from Synchiropus splendidus (mandarinfish), 442 nucleotides. RefSeq lists it as uncharacterized. The record is from RefSeq and is a predicted model, not a curated record. Lineage: Eukaryota; Metazoa; Chordata; Actinopteri; Syngnathiformes; Callionymidae. The transcript is spliced from 3 exons.